CUUUUGAUAUUAAUUUAAGGUCUAGCCUGCCCAAUGAGAUUUUAAAUGGCCGCGGUAUUUUGACUGUGCAAAGGUAGCAUAAUCAAUAGUUUUUUAAUUGAAAGCUGGAAUGAAAGGUUUGAUGAGAAAAUUUCUGUCUCUGUUUAAAUUUUAUAUAAAUUUAUUUUUCAGUAAAAAAGCUUAAAUAUUAAUAAAAGACGAGAAGACCCUAUAGAGUUUUAUUAAUUUUAAAAAUUAAAUUUUUAGUAUUUAAAGUUUUAUUUUUAAGAUUAAUUUAAUUGGGGUGAUUGANAAAUUUAUUAAACUUUUWUUUUAUUUUUACAUUAAUUUAUGAUUUUUUGAUCCUWAUUUAGAUUAGAAGUUAAAAUUACCUUAGGGAUAACAGCGUAAUUCUUUUAGAGAGUUCUAAUCGAAAAAAGAGAUUGCGNNCUCGAUGUUGGAUUAAAAUUUAAAUUUGGUGUAGGAGCUAAA
Molecule: ribosomal RNA, 471 nt
Filed under: Metacinops rhinomacer
Lineage: Eukaryota; Metazoa; Arthropoda; Insecta; Coleoptera; Brachyceridae
Description: partial 16S ribosomal RNA
Source: RNAcentral